RNAcentral lists this ribosomal RNA (466 nucleotides) under uncultured bacterium. RNAcentral describes it as "partial 16S ribosomal RNA". It matches the Rfam family "Bacterial small subunit ribosomal RNA", at positions 28 to 507 of the family's 1533-position model. The record is from RNAcentral.
GACGAACGCUGGCGGCGUGCUUAACACAUGCAAGUCGAACGAUGAAGCCUAGCUUGCUGGGUGGAUUAGUGGCGAACGGGUGAGUAACACGUGAGUAACCUGCCCCUUACUCUGGGAUAAGCGCUGGAAACGGCGUCUAAUACUGGAUAUUACCUUUCAUCGCAUGGUGUUUGGUGGAAAGAUUUUUCGGUUUGGGAUGGACUCGCGGCCUAUCAGCUUGAUGGUGAGGUAGUGGCUCACCAUGGCGACGACGGGUAGCCGGCCUGAGAGGGUGACCGGCCACACUGGGACUGAGACACGGCCCAGACUCCUACGCGAGGCAGCAGUGGGGAAUAUUGCACAAUGGGCGCAAGCCUGAUGCAGCAACGCCGCGUGAGGGAUGACGGCCUUCGGGUUGUAAACCUCUUUUAGUAGGGAAGAAGCGUAAGUGACGGUACCUACAGAAAAAGCACCGGCUAACUACGUG